CAUCGGCCGCUGACGCAGAUAUUGUUAUUUCGGCGUUUAUUUCGUAUUGCGUGUCCUAUUUCACCAUUAAUUGUUUUUAUUGUUAACAAUUUUUUUUUUGUGAAUAAAAAUUUAAAUGGAUCGUUGGCUAAACAAAUCAAAAAAUACAGUGGGAUCAUUCUCAUCAGAUGCAAAUGAAAAUAUAUGUAUCACAACGACUAAUAGUGCGAGUUUAAUAAGAGCAAAUAGUCCACCUAACAAACAAUCUGAUACAGUGACGUCUGACACUACAGUAAGUAAAAAAAGAAAAUAUGACGAAAAUUAUACCUCUUUUGGUUUCAU
Cinara cedri is the source of this 321-nucleotide non-coding RNA. Lineage: Eukaryota; Metazoa; Arthropoda; Insecta; Hemiptera; Aphididae. The record is from the annotation of a GenBank genome assembly.